RNAcentral lists this transfer RNA (72 nucleotides) under Camelus bactrianus (Bactrian camel). It matches the Rfam family "tRNA". Rfam says of the family: Transfer RNA (tRNA) molecules are approximately 80 nucleotides in length. Their secondary structure includes four short double-helical elements and three loops (D, anti-codon, and T loops). Further hydrogen bonds mediate the characteristic L-shaped molecular structure. tRNAs have two regions of fundamental functional importance: the anti-codon, which is responsible for specific mRNA codon recognition, and the 3' end, to which the tRNAs corresponding amino acid is attached (by aminoacyl-tRNA synthetases). tRNAs cope with the degeneracy of the genetic code in two manners: having more than one tRNA (with a specific anti-codon) for a particular amino acid; and 'wobble' base-pairing, i.e. permitting non-standard base-pairing at the 3rd anti-codon position. RNAcentral also lists the same sequence under 1 other name. The record is from Rfam by way of RNAcentral. Lineage: Eukaryota; Metazoa; Chordata; Mammalia; Artiodactyla; Camelidae.
GAGGGUAUAGCUCAGUGGCAGAGCACAUGCUUGGCAUGCAUGAGGUCCUGGAUUCAAUCCCCAGAACCUCCA